RNAcentral lists this ribosomal RNA (460 nucleotides) under uncultured bacterium. Its description in RNAcentral is "partial 16S ribosomal RNA". It matches the Rfam family "Bacterial small subunit ribosomal RNA", at positions 338 to 795 of the family's 1533-position model. The record is from RNAcentral.
CCUACGGGGGGCAGCAGUGAGGAAUAUUGGUCAAUGGACGCAAGUCUGAACCAGCCAUGCCGCGUGCAGGAAGACGGCUCUAUGAGUUGUAAACUGCUUUUGUACGAGGGUAAACGCAGAUACGCGUAUCUGUCUGAAAGUAUCGUACGAAUAAGGAUCGGCUAACUCCGUGACAGCAGCCGCGGUAAUACGGAGGAUUCAAGCGUUAUCCGGAUUUAUUGGGUGUAAAGGGUGCGUAGGAGGUCGGAUAAGUUAGAGGUGAAAGGCCGAGGCUCAACUUCGGAAUUGCCUCUGAUACUGGUAGGCUAGAGAGCAGUUGAGGUAGGCGGAAUGCAUGGUGUAGCGGUGAAAUGCUUAGAGAUCAGACAGAACACCGAUUGCGAAGGCAGCUUACUAAGCUGCUUCUGACGUUGAGGUACGAAGGCCAGGGGAGCGAAAGGGAUUAGAUACCCUAGUAGUC